Molecule: ribosomal RNA, 296 nt
Filed under: uncultured Mycoplasma sp.
Lineage: Bacteria; Bacillati; Mycoplasmatota; Mollicutes; Mycoplasmatales; Mycoplasmataceae
Description: partial 16S ribosomal RNA
Rfam family: Bacterial small subunit ribosomal RNA
Source: RNAcentral
CGAUGCCAUGUGAACGAUGAAGGUCUUUUUGAUUGUAAAGUUCUUUUAGAGGGGAAAAUGAUGAUGGUACCCUUUGAAUAAGUGACAGCAAACUAUGUGCCAGCAGCUGCGGUAAUACAUAGGUCGCGAGCGUUAUUCGGAUUUAUUGGGCGUAAAGCAAGCGCAGGCGGACGGACAAGUUUUGUGUUAAAAGCAGUUGCUCAACAAUUGUUUGCGCUGAAUACUGUCCGUCUAGAAUACGGUAGGAAGUUUUGGAAUUUAAUAUGGAGCGGUGGAAUGUGUACAUAUAUUAAACA